This is a long non-coding RNA of Triticum aestivum (bread wheat), 4038 nucleotides long. RefSeq lists it as uncharacterized. Lineage: Eukaryota; Viridiplantae; Streptophyta; Magnoliopsida; Poales; Poaceae. The record is from RefSeq and is a predicted model, not a curated record. The transcript has 7 exons.
CCCAAUCCCCGCGCUUGCUCCGCUUCCAAUCCUCCCCGCGUUGCUGCUCCAGAGCCCACACCCGCUCCAACCCUAGCCGCCACACCUCUCCUUCCUCCUCGCUUGACACCAUAGGCGCUGCACCCCCUCCCCUCCUUCCUGCUCGGGCGGAUAGCCGCCGGCCGCCGCAUUCCUUCUCCCCCUUCCUCCUCCUUCCUCCUUCCCGCUGGAGCCCCUCGCCCUCUUCCUCGGACAAGGGGCCUUCCACAGGAAUGGCCACGUCUUCAAACAAGGGGUAGUGGAGCAGGGGAGGACCAAGAAGCCGGCACUAGGGGUGGAGCAGCCAGGCGAAGGAGGACCCAGGUGGUGGAUGUGUCAAGGGGACUUCUCAGAGCCGGCGGGGAGCACGUCACCGUAGGCGUCAAGGGAGCCAUGGAGAAGCCGUCAGGAGGAGAAAGCUCCCAGUUUGUGGAGGAGACUAUGAGGCAUUUUUCCAGGUGGUGUUUUGGAAUCUAGAUUGAUUUGGUAUUGUAUGUUGUGUGAUGUGCCCUUGCCAAGAAUAUUUGAUGUGUGUGAUGACUGAUGACACAAGCAAUUGUAGAGCUGUGAACACCAUGCUUGAUUAGUGGACUGCCGCUUGAGAAGAAGCUUGUCAUUUGUCUCUUCGAGCCGCGGUGGAUAGGGGCCUUCGAAGAACUUGGGGUUUGACAUAGCCAUCGAGGAAGUGCAGGAUACAAACCAAGUGUAAUCAAAGAGGAUAUGAAUUCAGUACGACCAUGAGUGAAGGAACGCUACUCCAAUUUGGAUCUUGGAGAAUGUUUUCUCAGUGUGGUUCAGGUUAAAUUGUUGUCCUACUGUUCCUGCUCAGCCUCCUAAUGUUCUAUGUCUUCGCUGCGCCUUCUUCCAGCUUCUCUAUUGGUUUUCUCUUCACACCGAUGAAAGUGCAUGUUCCUCCCUUCCUCCAAAUCUUCUCCGGCCAUGGUUGUUUGCAUCUGGUCACAGUUGUUUCAUGUUUCACUUUUGUUGGUGGUUCACGCGUCGGCCUUAGUGCUCUAAGCAAACCAACAUUUCUCAUCUUGGCGAUUGUAUUAUUGGGGCUUUUCUACAUCUAUAGGUUUGAAUCUCAUGUGGCUCCUGCGCCCAACCACCAUCUCCUCCCUAGCUAAGCAAGAGGUUCAAAGGACACCGCUACAUCUUCCUUGCCGCCCAGCAGGAGGGGCACUAGGUGUGCCUCAUGUUUAGUUAAUGCCCACUGAUUGUGAUGUUCAUUCUAUGGGGAAUUUUGUUUACUUUUUAUAUUUUGUGCAUUUUCUAUUUCAUGUAUUGGUCAGUGGUCCUAAAUCCCAUGUGAUUUCUUCAUUCUUCAGGAAAAGUACAUAUCAGGAGAGCCAUUUAUUAGAGGAUCUUCUUGAUGGUUUUUUACAUUUGGUUCCUGAUGUUCUGCUUCUUGGGGUUUGCUCAUUUCCUUUCUAGCUAGAAAUACCAUAUUUUCCUCUUUGCGUGUACUGACUUGGUGUUUGGUUCGCUGCUUGUCUUAAUAUUCUGGAUUUAGCUGGGCAUCAUGUUUUGUUCAGCCUCAUGCUCCUAAGUGUAUCUCACACUGUAUAGGAAUCUGUCAUGCGGGGACCUUGCCUUUUAUGCUUCUUCUUGAUAAUAGAAGUAUUGAAUAUACCUGUUUCUUCUGCUCAAACAUUUUGGCUAAGUGGCGAUAUUCCAAAUAAAUGGAUGUAUCUUGAACAAAGGAGAUGUCUGAUGGUUUCUUAAUUUCGUUGACUAACUAGGGAGUUCAAGGAUGAUGACUAAAGUUUUGUCAUUACUGGCUAAUACUUGGCGACGAUGUGUCCAUCAGAAAUGAUCCGAUUAUCCUCUGUUGUAUUAUAUUUUCUACUUUUUUUGUAAAUAUGUAUGGAUGUACAUGCACACUCUUUCGAUGUCUGAAAAUGACCGUCAUCCCUCAGUGGGCAAAGAUGAUUUUGUUGAACAGUUUCAGUAUCUGUUACAUAGCGUAUUCUUUCCAAUGUAGAAGGUAGCAGCCGACUCUGCAUUGCUGUGGUGCUUAUAUUAUGGAGUAGUUAAGUUAUUCUCCCUCUGUAAAGAAAUAUAAGAGCGAAACACUCUUAUAUUUCUUUACAGAGGGAGUAUUCCACAAUAUUUAGGAUGUCAACUUUCAGCCAAUUGGUUAGUGGAUGUAAGAGCAUCUCUAGCCGAUCCUUAAAAAUCUUUAGCGGAUAGUCUAGUCGUAUACAAGCUGACUGCUCCUCAGGAAGGCUUGCUAUAGGUUACCAAACACUAGCAGGCGAGGUAUGCACUUGAACUUAUUUGCUCUGAAUUAUGCUAUCUAUUUGAUCUGCUAGCUAUUUUAUUGCUUCAUUUCUCCCUGAUCGCAUUUUUGUAUACAUGCACGCACUCUCAUUUCAAAAAUCAGUGACGGUCUCCUUCCAGCUGCACUGCUACUGCAAUUGAACAGCGAUUUAUACUUAGACCGCUUGCUUGCGCUUGAUGUGUCUGUUUUCUAUUCUAGCAAAUCGUCAUGCCCUAGGCACAGUGCCAAACACGUCUUGUUUGUGGCUGACCCCAAAAGGACUUCUGCACUAGAAGAACAUGUCCUCAAGGCCGUGACAAAGCAGCAGAGGUUAUAUAAUUUACAUAUCUGGAACUGCUUUAGACCAUUGGUGUUAUCAGUACGACGAAUUUCGGUCCUAUAACUGAACUAUUCCUUUUCCCGUUGUAUUUAUAAGUGACAUGUGUGUGGUUUUUUGCAGUACAUAGUAUAUGUAUGCAUUUCUUCAGUGGGGAGAUUAGUGCAUGAUGUCAUAUACACAAUUCAGAAAAUUUGUUUGAUAAUACUUAAGUGUAGGUUAGUCUAUUCUUUCAAGGAGAAAAGAGUAGGUCAAAUUAAUGAAAGACUGAGGUUGUUUGACGGCCGGACCAAGAAGAGCAAGGAGCCAACAAUGGUCAAUUUCUUGCAUCCCAUCCUGGACUCUAAAAGAUUUCAGUUUGCUAUAGGCUAUAGUUUGACUUUUUGCUUCUUGAAGUGAAUGGUAAAGCACCAUGUUGGUUACAUUAGAUUUGUUUGUCAGGCUUGUCUAAAGUCAAUAAUUUCUUGAUCCAUUUUCAAUUUAAGUAAACCAUCCAUAUAAUCAUGAUUUGUUUACCCUAUUCGGUGUUUCUGUUGUGCUUUGUUUUUGUUUGAAGGUUUGGGCUGGAUUGGAUAUCCAAAUGUUUGUGAAUUAUACUUGAUUAAUUGCUUGCUAAAACAAAGAAAGCAUCCAGCAGCACCUCAACCAGGUGUCACAAGAGAACUGAACUAAAUUUCUCAGCUACACAUGUAGUCUUAACAUUGCUAGCUGUUGUCCCUAGAAAUCAUUUAUAGCUGUUGUAUAAGGAUAUUGUAGUUUAUCUUAGUAGGGAAUAGUGUGAUGUUUUCUCUAUUUAAAUUCUAACAUUUUAAACCUCAAACAGAUGGGUUCGUUUGGGAAGGAUCUUGAGCUGUUAGACUCAGCUAGAAUUUUGCCAAUGAGAAUUAGAGACCAGACAACUGCACUUAAGCUUGCUAAGCUACCCAUUUAUUCCUUCUAUUCGUUGAUUAUAGGAACAACACAUGCAUUCAUCAUACAAACCUGCAGCUUAUGUGCGAUAAGAUGGACUCGACAUAAAGAAGUUUCUCUUCGUCUGCUCUGAUUUUUGAGCCAAGACCCUUGGGAGUUUGUCUAGCCUCAUUAUCAAAAGUGUGCAUCAGUUAGUUAUGACCUCAUCUCUUCAGUGAGAUGUUUUCCUCCAUGAAGGAUAUCCCUGACGAUCACAGGGAAUGCUCCAAACAAAAGAAAAUAAUUGUAUCAGCCUGCGAAGCGUAAAUGCUGGACUAUUGUUUCUCCCCUGAUGCACAUGUUUCGCCACAGACAAUAUAGUGUGUGUGUGUGUGUGUGUGUGUGAUCUCUGAAAUUAGUUUUUAGGUUAUUCUAUGUGUUGAGUACUUCUGUAAUUUCCACGGGCGUGUUUCAUAUUUUCUGUGUAUUGUCUAUCAUUCUUUUAAUCGUUAAUAUUUCUUGUAGUUUUUCA